UGCCCCAUGGCUGAGUUGGUUACAGCGUCCGACUGUUACGCAAUUAGCAAUCGGAAGGUCGUGAGUUCGAGCCUCACUGGGGCAG
This 85-nucleotide transfer RNA is filed under the name Macrolepiota fuliginosa MF-IS2. It matches the Rfam family "tRNA". From Rfam's summary of the family: Transfer RNA (tRNA) molecules are approximately 80 nucleotides in length. Lineage: Eukaryota; Fungi; Basidiomycota; Agaricomycetes; Agaricales; Agaricaceae. The record is from Rfam by way of RNAcentral.